CCAAUGGAUGAUGAGGAGUUGAUGGGCCACAUCCUCACCAGGCUGGAUUCCGACCACAAUCAGGUGGUGUCCGCCAUCAUAACACGCUAACGUUCUCACGGUGUAAAAGUCUACACGUAGCUCCUCACCUUUGAGC
Molecule: small nucleolar RNA, 136 nt
Filed under: Setaria italica (foxtail millet)
Lineage: Eukaryota; Viridiplantae; Streptophyta; Magnoliopsida; Poales; Poaceae
Description: Small nucleolar RNA Z247
Rfam family: Small nucleolar RNA Z247
About the family: Z247 is a member of the C/D class of snoRNA which contain the C (UGAUGA) and D (CUGA) box motifs. Most of the members of the box C/D family function in directing site-specific 2'-O-methylation of substrate RNAs.
Source: Rfam by way of RNAcentral